This 253-nucleotide ribosomal RNA is filed under the name uncultured bacterium. RNAcentral describes it as "partial 16S ribosomal RNA". It matches the Rfam family "Bacterial small subunit ribosomal RNA", at positions 524 to 776 of the family's 1533-position model. The record is from RNAcentral.
UACGUAGGGGGCAAGCGUUGUCCGGAAUCAUUGGGCGUAAAGCGCGUGUAGGCGGCUCGAUAAGUCUGCUGUGAAAGUCCAAGGCUCAACCUUGGGAUGCCGGUGGAUACUGUCGAGCUCGAGUCCGGAAGAGGAGUGUGGAAUUCCUGGUGUAGCGGUGAAAUGCGCAGAUAUCAGGAGGAACACCGGUGGCGAAGGCGGUUCUCUGGGCAUUACCUGACGCUGAGGAGCGAAAGCGUGGGGAGCAAACAGG